This 6410-nucleotide long non-coding RNA is filed under the name Capsicum annuum. RNAcentral's name for it is "long non-coding RNA (CANN_LNC016864)". Lineage: Eukaryota; Viridiplantae; Streptophyta; Magnoliopsida; Solanales; Solanaceae. The record is from RNAcentral.
ACAAAAAGAUACUCCAGCACAUAUACCAAAUCCAAAAAAAUAAUUUUCAGCCCUCUCACAUUUUAGAAAAAAUAACAACCAAUUAAUCCCUUCAAAUUUGGAGGUUUUAUUCAACGCUUCGAGUUCGUGGCUUUUGAACCUUAGCUAUUGAAGAAAUUAAGUUUCGCAAGAGGUAAUCCUCAAUCUUUUGUUAUUAUAUAAUUUCAUGUCAUGAUGAAUGAUACAUAAAUUUAAUGUUACAAAGUUGCGCACAUUAUAGAUGUGUUAAUUGAUUAUUCCUUUAUGACGUUAUUAUAUGAAGUACGUUCAUAAUCUUAUUUAAUUGAAUCUAAAGUAGAGUGUUUUUUUGGUAUAGUAGAUCGUGUUUGCUUUCACAUCCGAAGUUAUAGUGUUUGUCCAAUGUCAAGCAAAAUAUUUGUUAUGUAAUAUUUCAAUAAAAGUUUAUCUACCCUUAUAGCAUUAGUGUUUAGUCAUAUUUUAGUUGCUGCUUUACAAGUUUUUAGUUUAAGGUAUUAUUAAAAUAAAUUAAUAUUAUUUACUGUACAUGUUGAUAAAUAUUAUAUACUUGGAUUGUAUUUGAAUACUACAUGAGGAUUUUAUACUACUAAUACUCAUUAUUGGAUUUUUAAUGGAGAAGGAAUCUAGUCUUCAAAUAUAAUAUUUAAUAUUAUUCAUCAAAAAAUGAUAUUUAAUAUUUGAAAUAUUUGAUACAAUAUUUGUGUUGUUUUGUGAGUUUGAGCAAGUUAUUUCUUUAUUUUCUCCAUUUUUGGUUAGUUACUAGUACUAGCACUAGUUACGUCAAGAACCAUAUCCAACAUAUUACCUAGAUUGAGAUGAUAAAAAUUAUAUAUAUAUAUGUGUGUGUGUGUGUGUGCGCGCGCGCGCGCGCGCAUGGAGUAUCGUAAAAGGUUUAAGUUGUUUCAUCAUUAUAUUGUUUAUUCGAAUUCGAACAAAAAAGACAUAAAAUAUGGUGUUAUAUAUAUAUGUGUGUGUGUGUGUGUGUGUGUGUGUGCGCGCGCGCGCAUGGAGUAUCGUAAAAGGCUUAAGUUGUUCAUCUUUUAUUCUCAAUGUAUUAUUUAUUCGAAUUCGAACAAAAGAGACAUAAAAUAUUGUGUUACAACAUUAAAAAUUGUGUCACUAAAACAAAUCGACAUACAUAAAAAUAUUAAAAAGUUACUUUGUUCUUAAUUUAUUAACUCAAGUGAAAGUUAACGAUGAAGUUGGAAAGCCCAGCUACCGAUCACUCGUUAUAGUAAAAUUAAUAUCCCAUUUUAAAACUGAUCUAAUUGGGACGGAUAAAUUUUUAAAUAUGUUAGAAUCUUGCUUAGACUUGAGAAAAAUGGGAACGAUCCAUAAAUGCCACAAAGGUGCGAGAAAUAUACCAAAACUCAUAUAAGGCCAAAAAGUACUACUAUUGGUAAGUCACGCAUCAAGGUAGUUUUUGAUAAAUUCUCAAUAAAUAAAAAUAGGAUAGAAAUCACUUUUAGGCUAACAAAUAUUAUAUAUCUAAAAGAUUAAUUUAAGCCAGACUUAAGUCAUUAAAGCGACUAUGCAAGAACCACGGGACUCGAGGGUGCCUCACACCUUCCCCUCGGUCAAUAGAAUUUCUUAUCCGAACUUCUAGAUCGCAGACUAAAAAAUUAAGAGUCAUUUCCUUUUGAUUGGGGAUUCAAUAAGGUGACUUGGAACACCCAAACUCAAUUUCAAGUUGCAACUCUAUAAAAUAAAUAAUCCCUUUCCAAAACGUCACUUUAAUUGAAAAACCCCUUUUUUCUCUAAAACGAACUCCCUAGUGGGGUUGGGGCGGUAAAUGUUAUUUCCUUCUACGGGUACGCAGAAUCUGUAUAUGCAAAACAACAACUUCAACUAGUUCAAGUUUAAAACAAGAACUCAAUGAAGUAUAAAAAAACCCUCAACACAAGAUCAAAGUGAUCUUUCUUAGAAGUGUAUUUUAUUUUUAGAAAUCAAGAUGAAAUAGAAAUGGCCAAGUCACCCGAAUUCACGAACUUUCCUUAAGGAAAUAAUUCCCCUCACUGUACCCGAGGUUGCGAAAUUUUUCUCCCAGGAUAAAAUGGCCAAACAAACCAAUUGUAGCAGUACCUCAAACAACUGGAAUAUCUUCGAACUCACUGAACGUUUUGAGUGAUCACACAGAAUAUUUUUAAGGCAAGAAGAGUGUUUUAUUCUGAAAUUUUCAUACCAAAACCUGUGGAUGAAAGCAGGUUUAUAUAGCCACAAGAUGCCUCUUCUGAAAAGUGGCAAUUGUUCAUUCCAAAGGUGUAAUUUUUUCUGAAAAUUCAUGUCCAUUCGUCCAAAUAAUGUGUCUAUUCCAAACAGGCAUGCCAUUUCGUAAAUCAGUAUGUCAUUUUGUUGAAGAAUUGCAUCCUUCUGAAGCAUCAGUUCGAAAUAGUGCAACUUUUUUAAAGCAUCAGUUCAGUUCGAACAUUGCAUCUAUUACUGUUACUGUAUGCAUAUAAAUGGAGUAUUAAACACACAGAAAAAUUUUCUGCAUUUUUGUCAUUGAUCAGAUUUCUUCAAAUAAAGUUUGUCCAAAAAGAUAGAUCUCAUUGAUCGAUCAUUUGACAAAUCCAAAUCCGAAGCCAAAGUCGAGCCGAGCGAGCGACGACGACGGCGUGAGGCAUCUCUUAUUUCUUGCCUCACUUAUCAUGUGGAGUAAGUGUUCUUGAUUAUAAACGCUUCCAAGUUCUCUUCUUCCACCAAUGUAGGAGAAAGAGUAAACUUUCUAAUUUGGGAGUACACUUUCCAUUUUAGUGUCUCCUUCCCUCCACCAUUUUACUCUCCAUUUUUCCAUUCACACUUCUUUCAUAUAGUAUGAACCUAACAGUAAAAAAUAGGGGUGUGACAAUGAAAUAAUUUGCUUGGAUAUGUAACCUGCAUGCAUAAUUGAUAAAAUACUUGCGUGAUUUUCUCUUAAUAAGAGACAUGGCAUCGAAUAGCAUAAUUGCUGACUUGAACAAAGAAGAAAAACUAAAUAGUGACAAUUAUGAUAUUUGGAGUCAUAAAAUAUGGUAUGUUCUGGAAGAGCAAAAUGUUCUUGAAGGUAUUAACCAUGUCUUAUGUCUACCAAAAAAGGGUAAUACUACACAACAUAGAAGAGACCUUGAAGCUUAUAAGGCUUGAAAAAAGGUUGAUUCCAUUGCACGUGAAAUCAUUGUAAGUUCUGUGGUUGAUGACCUCAUACACAAAUGUGAGGAAUUUUCUACUGCCAAUGCCAUAUGGUUACACUUACGAGGAACAUAUGGGGUACUUCUAUUACCUGUGUCAGACAGUUGACUAUCAAGUUUGACACUUACAAGAAAUGUCAUAAUCAAAACAUCAAACAACACCUUAGGGUGAUGUCGAAUAUAAUAGCUCAACUCAAAAGUAUUGGUCACGUUCUCUUGGAUGAGAAGCAGGUCCAAGCAGUGAUACGAUCUCUUCCCAACAGUUGGGAACACUUGCAGGUUAACUUAACCUACAAUGAUAGCAUUAAAACUUUCUCUAAUGUUGCCCGUUAUGUUGAACUUGAAGAUGAGCGGCUUGGUGCUACUAAAGCUGUUUUUAAUGCCAUUAUGGUAGAAUCAAGUGGUAAAAAGUCUUCAGGAUUCAAGCGUAAGAAAAAAUAGAAAAAAAGGGAAGUGUAACGAUACCGAAGAAGGAUCCUCUGAGAAAAAACAAGCCAAAUUCCAAGAAGAGAAAAAAAAUUCAAGAAAAAAGACAAAAGCAAGAUGAAGUUCUACAAUUUCCAAAUUCUGGGGCAUUUUGCUCGUGAAUGUCCUGAGCAGAAAAAGGUAGCAUUUCUAAACGAAAUUCUAAGUGCUAUGUAUAUUUCUAGCACUGCCUUAUUAACUGAAUCUUAUCCUAUGUGGAUUGUAGACUCAGGAUCCACCGACCAUAUGAUUCAAGAUCGAGAAGCAUUUGUGGAGUUCCGUUGAGUUUCACCUGGAUCAAGGUGGAUCUAUGUAGGAAAUAAUACAAGAAUUGAAGUCAAAGAGAUUGGUACUUGCAAAGUAGACUUGUCGGGAGGCCGGUCUCUAAUGUUGUAUGAUGUCUUAUAUGCUCUAGAGAUUCGAUCAAACUUAGUGUCUAUGUUUGUUCUUUUAGAUGUUGGUUUUCAUUUGUUUUUCAGUCGCAAUUGUGUAAGUAACUCUAGAUAAUGUCUUUUAUGGUUUUGGACAUCGUUAUGAUCGUUUUAUUAUUUUAGAUUAUAAUCCUUCAACUUAUGACUAUUAUGUUGAUUGUUGUGUAAUGUCUUGUUAUUCUAGUAAUAAUGAUGUUGAUAUACUUAUAUGGCAUGCUAGAUUGGGUCACAUAGGGCAAGAUAAAAUGAAUAGAUUGGCAAAGAAAGGACAUCUAGGUUCUUUCUCCAAAAUUGAAAUGCCAACUUGUGAAAAUUCUCUUACCGAAAAGAUUACACGUAAACUAUUUGGGAAGCCUAAAGGAGCCAAAUUUCCAUUGCAAUUAAUCCAUUCUAAUAUCUAUGGUUCAAUAAAUAUGAGGGCAAGGGCUAGUGCUUCAUAUUUUUUACAUUUACUGACGAUUUCAUGCCCUUUGGUUAUGUCUAUUUGACAUCCCAUAAAUUCAAAGUACUUGAAUACUUUAAGAGAUAUAUGAAUGAACUUGAGAAUCAAUUAGACAAAGGUAUAAAGGCAUUAAGAACUGAUAAAGGUCGUGAAUAUUUAUCAAAAUAGUUUGAAGAACUGUGCAUUGAAAAAAGGCAUUACCAAACAAGUAACUACUCCUUAUACACCUCAACAAAAUGGUGUAGCCGAAAGAAGGAAUAAAACAUAGUUGGAUAUGACAAGAUCCAUGAUGGCAUAGGCAAAUUGAUCAAUCUCUUUCUAGGGAGAUGCACUAUUAACUGCGGCCUACAUAUUGAAUAAAGUGCUUUCUAAAUUAGUAUCUUCUACUCCUUAUGAACUAUGGACUGAUAAUAUACCAAACUUUAAUGAUCUACGACCUUGGGGUUGUGCUGCAUACAUUAAAGAUUGUUUUGGUAAGUUUGAAAAAUUAAGUCCAAAAGAAAAGAAAUGUAUCUUUAUAAGAUACUCAGAACACUCUAAAGGGUAUGUGUUCAUUGGUGAUUUGGAAGAUGAAAGUACUAUUGAAAUUGAAUCACGAGAUGUCACAUUGCUGAAAAAUAAUUUUUUCAAAAAGGGAUGAAAUAAAGAAAAACAAGCCUCUUUACGAAAUGCUGAAUUCAGUUGAUCAAGUAAUGUUGCCAAAAAUUCUUGAUAAUUCAAUAGAUCAAGAAAUAAUUCUUGGAACAAGUGGGAGUUGUGAAUUUCAAAAUUCUAUUGAGGAAUUUGAACUUCAAUCACGUAAGAGUACUAGAAAAGGUGUACCUAAACGAUCUUAUGAGAUUGAGGAUUAUGUUUUCUUGUUAUCUCUCAUAGAAUAGGAUGAACCUAAUUCUGUGACUGAGGCUUUAUCGAGUCCUGAAAAAAAUGAAUGGAUAAAAGCGAUGAAAAAAGAAUUAGAGUCCAUGAAAAUCAAUAAAGUUUGGGAUCUAGUUGACCUUCCUUCUGGGUGUAAAUCUAUUGGGAACAAAUAGAUUCUCAAAGUUAAACACAAAUCAGAUGGGACAAUAGAAAGGCACAAAGCACGAUUAGUGGAAAAAAGUUUUACUCAAGAAGCUGGAAUAGAUUAUGAGGAAACUUUUUCACCAGUUGUAAAACUUACCUCAAUUUGCUUACUUUUGGCUAUAGUUGCACGUUUAGAUUUAGAAUUACACUAAAUGAACGUGAAGACCGCGUUUCUCAAUGGAGAACUAAACGAGGAAAUCUACAUGGAACAACUUGUAGGUUUUGUUAAAGGCCAAGAAAAAAAGAUUUGUAAAUUAAACGGAUCAAAAUAUGGCCUAAAGUAGUUCCAAGGCAAUGGUACCUAAUAUUUCAUAAGGAAGUGAUUUCAUUUGAUUUCAUUAUGAUCGAUGAAGACCAUUGCAUCUAUGUGAAAAAGUCCAAUGAAAUAUUUGUGAUUCUUUCACUUUACGUGGAUGAUAUUUUAUUAGCUGAAAAUAAUUUAGAGUAUGUGAAAACUAUUUAGUCAUGACUUUCAAAGUCAUUUGACAUGAAAGAUAUCGGUGAAGCAGACUAUAUAUUGGGUGUUAAAAUCUAAAAUGAUCGUUCCAAAAAAAUUUUGAGUCUUUCUCAAGAAACAUACAUAAAGAAAAUUCUAGAACGCUUUCGAAUGAAUAGUUGUAAAUCCAUGGAUAGUCCUAUAGCAAGAAGUGAAACUUUAAGUCUUGAAAUGUGUCCAAAGACUAAAAAAGAAAAAGAAGAUAUGUCUCGAAUUCCAUAUUCUAGUGCAGUUGGGAGUUUGACGUAUGCUAUGAUGUGUACUCAUCUAAACAUUUGUUAUGACGUAGGUCUGAUUAGCAGGUAUCAAUUCAAUCCUGGAAAAGAUCA